GUCUCACCUUCACCCCCUUUUAAAACAUAUUUAAAAGAAUAAGGAAAUGUUUUCUAUAACUUUCAGAACAUAAUUUUUUAAACAAGAAAAUUAUGUAUCUCUAUUCAAGAAUCUAUAAACUAUUUUUUUCAUUUAGCAAAUAUUCAUUCAAGCAAAUGCUAUAGGCAAGACAUUACUUUAGUCCUUAGUAAAAGAUGCAGAGAUAAACAGGAGCCUUAGGGAGUUCAUAAUCUAGUAGGAGAAAAUAGAAAUGUAAACUAACAAAUAUGUAGAGUGGGUAGUACAGUUAAAGAGAAAUACAGGAUACAGUGCACACUCUGGUAAAAAUCUGCCCUGGGGAUAUCAGGGAGGAAGGACUUGACUGGAAAAAAUGCUUAACUCAGUUUGGUGAGUAUGGGCGAAUGAGGUGAAUAAGGCAGAGGAAGAGAGCCCAGUGCAGAGAGACCAUUUGUAACGGCAGAGGCAUUAAGGAGCAGACCCAGUUGGGGAUCUGCAAGUAGUUUGAUAUGGCUAGAUUUUAUGUUACCAGAGGUGGUAUCACAGGAUUACAUUUUUGAGGCAGAUAUGAGCCCAUUUUAUGUAUUUACUGCUGUUUCAGAUGCCAAGAAUACUCUAUCCUUUUUCUGUGAGUCUCAGAUCCUAGGUGACUGUGUCACUUGAAACCAAGGUAUUUUUUACUGUUUGCAGAAAUUAGAUCAUAUAAAGAAUGCCUAUAUUUGUUGUUGUUGCUGUUGUUUUACUUAUUUAUCAAAUUGUGGCUGUGAGAUCACUAAUUUUAAAGAUGAUCAACUGAAUGGGUCAAGUUCUUAAAAUUAUUAAGGAUUCAUAAAAAAUAGGGACAGGAGUUUCCUGCUGCCAGGAUAACUUUUUUUUUUUUUUUAAAUCAAUGAACACUGCUUUAAAAAAAAAUGGUGUCAAAGCUAUUUUUUAAAAAUCUAGAUAACUUUUAUGGUUUUUACUAUUUUCAAUAGAAGUUAAAGACGUUAUCCACUUGUACGAGUUGCUUUCUAGAGACUAAAAUAGAGUAGAGCUAGCUUUGUAAUGUGAUGUUUUUUUGGCCAUAUUAUAAUUUGGCUUGGAUUGUGGGUUAAUGUACCAAAAUAACUAAAAUCUCUUGAAUACUUAACUAUUUCAGAAGAGGUCUGUUUUUAAAAAUGUAGUUGCUGCCUUCUUAAAACUACCUCCCAAAAUAAAGUGGCAAGGUCUGUGUUCCUCUUUUAUUUUUGGCAGUUAAAAAAACCAUCAUUAUUUUAAGGCUGCCAGCAGGUAUUCAUCAAUUGAAUAAACAUUGUAUCCUUGUUUUAUCUGAGCUAUUUUAUAUGGAUACUGCGUUUCACUUACACCAUCUAUUGCCUUUAGAAAGCUAUGUUCUCUUUUCCUUAUAAAAUUGUAUUGUCUUUUUACUCAAAAUGUAUUAAUAUUUUUCUGAUUACCAUAUUGGACACCUUGUAGGAGAAUGGUCUUCAAGACUAAUGAGGAGAUUGCUGGGGGGCCCUGGAAGUCCAUCUUGGAUAAAAAGUUUGUAAGAUAAGGCCUAGAAACUCUGAAUAAGCUCAGAUAUCCUGGCUUCAAAGACUAUGUGCACAAACUUGUAAAGGAGACUUUGCUACUCUGGGGGAAGAUACAUGAGACAGGCAAGUGGAGGAAGGAGGGAGAAAGAGGACUGCUAGUUAAUAUAUGCCAUGAUCCAGAAAAAAACGUCAAAUAAUUAAAGGGAGACUAAUUUGUAAGCACAUAAUAGAAAUGGUGUAUGAUUCCUAGGGACUUAACAUGGGCUUACAAAUAACAAAUCAUGACCCCUAAUGAU
Herpailurus yagouaroundi (jaguarundi) is the source of this 1807-nucleotide long non-coding RNA. RefSeq lists it as uncharacterized. NCBI's taxonomy places the organism in Eukaryota, Metazoa, Chordata, Mammalia, Carnivora, Felidae. The transcript has 2 exons. The record is from RefSeq and is a predicted model, not a curated record.